UCAGUCGACUCCUACGGGGAGGCAGCAGUGGGGGAAUAUUGCACAAUGGGCGCAAGCCUGAUGCAGCCAUGCCGCGUGUAUGAAGAAGGCCUUCGGGUUGUAAAGUACUUUCAGCAGUGAGGAAGGUGGGUAUGUUAAUAGCAUACUCAUUUGACGUUAGCUGCAGAAGAAGCACCGGCUAACUCCGUGCCAGCAGCCGCGGUAAUACGGAGGGUGCGAGCGUUAAUCGGAAUUACUGGGCGUAAAGCGCAUGCAGGUGGUUUGUUAAGUCAGAUGUGAAAGCCCGGGGCUCAACCUCGGAAUUGCAUUUGAAACUGGCAAACUAGAGUACUGUAGAGGGGGGUAGGAAUUUCAGGUGUAGCGGUGAAAUGCGUAGAGAUCUGAAGGAAUACCGGUGGCGAAGGCGGCCCCCUGGACAGAUACUGACACUCAGAUGCGAAAGCGUGGGGAGCAAACAGGAUUAGAUACCCUGGUAG
This 476-nucleotide ribosomal RNA is filed under the name uncultured bacterium. RNAcentral's name for it is "bacterial SSU rRNA". It matches the Rfam family "Bacterial small subunit ribosomal RNA", at positions 328 to 793 of the family's 1533-position model. The record is from RNAcentral.